RNAcentral lists this transfer RNA (74 nucleotides) under Acidimicrobiia bacterium. RNAcentral's name for it is "tRNA-Thr". It matches the Rfam family "tRNA". From Rfam's summary of the family: Transfer RNA (tRNA) molecules are approximately 80 nucleotides in length. Their secondary structure includes four short double-helical elements and three loops (D, anti-codon, and T loops). Lineage: Bacteria; Bacillati; Actinomycetota; Acidimicrobiia. The record is from RNAcentral.
GGCUCCCUUAGCUCAGUCGGCAGAGCGUUUCCAUGGUAAGGAAAAGGUCGAGAGUUCGAUUCUCUCAGGAGGCU